This 253-nucleotide ribosomal RNA is filed under the name uncultured bacterium. RNAcentral describes it as "partial 16S ribosomal RNA". It matches the Rfam family "Bacterial small subunit ribosomal RNA", at positions 524 to 776 of the family's 1533-position model. The record is from RNAcentral.
UACGUAGGGGGCAAGCGUUAUCCGGAUUUACUGGGUGUAAAGGGAGCGUAGACGGCAGUGCAAGUCUGGAGUGAAAGGCGGGGGCUCAACCCCCGGACUGCUCUGGAAACUGUACGGCUGGAGUGCAGGAGAGGUAAGUGGAAUUCCUAGUGUAGCGGUGAAAUGCGUAGAUAUUAGGAGGAACACCAGUGGCGAAGGCGGCCUACUGGACUGUAACUGACGUUGAGGCUCGAAAGCGUGGGGAGCAAACAGG